CGUAGGGUGCAAGCGUUAAUCGGAAUUACUGGGCGUAAAGCGUGCGCAGGCGGUUUGGUAAGACAGAUGUGAAAUCCCCGGGCUUAACCUGGGAAUUGCAUUUGUGACUGCCCGGCUAGAGUUUGGCAGAGGGGGGUAGAAUUCCACGUGUAGCAGUGAAAUGCGUAGAUAUGUGGAGGAAUACCGAUGGCGAAGGCAGCCCCCUGGGUCAAGACUGACGCUCAUGCACGAAAGCGUGGGGAGCAAACAGGAUUAGAUACCCUGGUAGUCCACGCCCUAAACGAUGUCUACUAGUUGUCGGGUCUUAAUUGACUUGGUAACGCAGCUAACGCGUGAAGUAGACCGCCUGGGGAGUACGGUCGCAAGAUUA
This 370-nucleotide ribosomal RNA is filed under the name uncultured organism. Its description in RNAcentral is "bacterial SSU rRNA". It matches the Rfam family "Bacterial small subunit ribosomal RNA", at positions 526 to 896 of the family's 1533-position model. The record is from RNAcentral.